RNAcentral lists this ribosomal RNA (765 nucleotides) under uncultured Streptococcus sp. RNAcentral's name for it is "bacterial SSU rRNA". It matches the Rfam family "Bacterial small subunit ribosomal RNA", at positions 28 to 776 of the family's 1533-position model. Lineage: Bacteria; Bacillati; Bacillota; Bacilli; Lactobacillales; Streptococcaceae. The record is from RNAcentral.
GAUGAACGCUGGCGGCGUGCCAAAUACAUGCAAGUAGAACGCUGAAGCUUGGUGCUUGCACCGAGCGGAUGAGUUGCGAACGGGUGAGUAACGCGUAGGUAACCUGCCUGGUAGCGGGGGAUAACUAUUGGAAACGAUAGCUAAUACCGCAUGACAACAGUUAUUGCAUGAUAACUAUUUAAAAGGGGCAAUUGCUCCACUACCAGAUGGACCUGCGUUGUAUUAGCUAGUUGGUGAGGUAACGGCUCACCAAGGCGACGAUACAUAGCCGACCUGAGAGGGUGAUCGGCCACACUGGGACUGAGACACGGCCCAGACUCCUACGGGAGGCAGCAGUAGGGAAUCUUCGGCAAUGGACGGAAGUCUGACCGAGCAACGCCGCGUGAGUGAAGAAGGUUUUCGGAUCGUAAAGCUCUGUUGUAAGAGAAGAACGAGUGUGAGAGUGGAAAGUUCACACUGUGACGGUAUCUUACCAGAAAGGGACGGCUAACUACGUGCCAGCAGCCGCGGUAAUACGUAGGUCCCGAGCGUUAUCCGGAUUUAUUGGGCGUAAAGCGAGCGCAGGCGGUUAGAUAAGUCUGAAGUUAAAGGCUGUGGCUUAACCAUAGUACGCUUUGGAAACUGUUUAACUUGAGUGCAAGAGGGGAGAGUGGAAUUCCAUGUGUAGCGGUGAAAUGCGUAGAUAUAUGGAGGAACACCGGUGGCGAAAGCGGCUCUCUGGCUUGUAACUGACGCUGAGGCUCGAAAGCGUGGGGAGCAAACAGG